GGACAGCGGCUAUAACUCGGUCAUUUCUGGACAGAUCGACCUGAUAUUGAUAUCACACACUCAGGGGUCUCAACUGAGUCAGCCUAUCAAGUUUCAGCCC
Molecule: long non-coding RNA, 100 nt
Organism: Melanotaenia boesemani (Boeseman's rainbowfish)
Lineage: Eukaryota; Metazoa; Chordata; Actinopteri; Atheriniformes; Melanotaeniidae
Exons: 3
Source: RefSeq, a predicted model, not a curated record